RNAcentral lists this ribosomal RNA (1385 nucleotides) under Acinetobacter sp. ISTPCP-3. RNAcentral's name for it is "partial 16S ribosomal RNA". The stretch from base 176 to 1070 matches the Rfam family "Bacterial small subunit ribosomal RNA". Lineage: Bacteria; Pseudomonadati; Pseudomonadota; Gammaproteobacteria; Moraxellales; Moraxellaceae. The record is from RNAcentral.
CGGCCCAGACUCCUACGGGAGGCAGCAGUGGGGAAUAUUGGACAAUGGGCGCAAGCCUGAUCCAGCCAUGCCGCGUGUGUGAAGAAGGCCUUUUGGUUGUAAAGCACUUUAAGCGAGGAGGAGGCUCCUUUAGUUAAUACCUAAAGUGAGUGGACGUUACUCGCAUAAUAGCCCGGCUACUUUGUGCCUCACCCCGGUAUCAGAGGUCUACCGUAUCGAUUCUGGCGUAAGAACAAGCGGGCGAGGUUGCUUCGGUAACUGAGCUAGCGGCGGACGGGUGAGUAAUGCUUAGGAAUCUGCCUAUUAGUGGGGACAACAUUCCGAAAGGAAUGCUAAUACCGCAUACGCCCUACGGGGGAAAGCAGGGGAUCUUCGGACCUUGCGCUAAUAGAUGAGCCUAAGUCAGAUUAGCUAGUUGGUGGGGUAAAGGCCUACCAAGGCGACGAUCUGUAGCGGGUCUGAGAGGAUGAUCCGCCACACUGGGACUGAGACACGGCCCAGACUCCUACGGGAGGCAGCAGUGGGGAAUAUUGGACAAUGGGCGCAAGCCUGAUCCAGCCAUGCCGCGUGUGUGAAGAAGGCCUUUUGGUUGUAAAGCACUUUAAGCGAGGAGGAGGCUACUUGGAUUAAUACUCUAGGAUAGUGGACGUUACUCGCAGAAUAAGCACCGGCUAACUCUGUGCCAGCAGCCGCGGUAAUACAGAGGGUGCGAGCGUUAAUCGGAUUUACUGGGCGUAAAGCGUGCGUAGGCGGCUUCUUAAGUCGGAUGUGAAAUCCCUGAGCUUAACUUAGGAAUUGCAUUCGAUACUGGGAAGCUAGAGUAUGGGAGAGGAUGGUAGAAUUCCAGGUGUAGCGGUGAAAUGCGUAGAGAUCUGGAGGAAUACCGAUGGCGAAGGCAGCCAUCUGGCCUAAUACUGACGCUGAGGUACGAAAGCAUGGGGAGCAAACAGGAUUAGAUACCCUGGUAGUCCAUGCCGUAAACGAUGUCUACUAGCCGUUGGGGCCUUUGAGGCUUUAGUGGCGCAGCUAACGCGAUAAGUAGACCGCCUGGUGGUGGGGUAAAGGCCUACCAAGGCGACGAUCUGUAGCGGGUCUGAGAGGAUGAUCCGCCACACUGGGACUGAGACACGGCCCAGACUCCUACGGGAGGCAGCAGUGGGGAAUAUUGGACAAUGGGCGAAAGCCUGAUCCAGCCAUGCCGCGUGUGUGAAGAAGGCCUUUUGGUUGUAAAGCACUUUAAGCGAGGAGGAGGCUACUUAGAUUAAUACUCUAGGAUAGUGGACGUUACUCGCAGAAUAAGCACCGGCUAACUCUGUGCCAGCAGCCGCGGUAAUACAGAGGGUGCGAGCGUUAAUCGGAUUUACUGGGCGUAAAGCGUGCGUAGG